AUGGGACAAUGCUCUAAUAAUGAUGAUCAUCACACUUUUAUUACUUACAACUCGACAAUUACAACUCAAUACUUAGAACAAAAUAUGACUCUAUGUGAAUGCCUCCGGUGGUGUACCGGGAUAUGCGAUGAAUCAAGAGUGACAUGUCUGAAAACUUAUAAAUGGUGGCUUUGCCACAAAUACGAUGUCAACUACAUGAUCAUGCAAAGCAAUAUGACAAUUAUGGAGCGUGUCAUAAUAAACGGAACGGUGGAAAGUUGCAUGGCAAUAUAUCUCGGAAUGGCUAUGGAAAUGCCAUGA
RNAcentral lists this ribosomal RNA (300 nucleotides) under Triticum aestivum (bread wheat). RNAcentral's name for it is "partial small subunit ribosomal RNA". Lineage: Eukaryota; Viridiplantae; Streptophyta; Magnoliopsida; Poales; Poaceae. The record is from RNAcentral.